UCGGAUAAGGCUCCAUUUAUUGUAGCAAUUGACGUAGCAGCUCGUGAACUAGGUUGUAGUGGUCAAAGUUGUUGAAGACACAGUCGUGAUUUCUAUUGGAGAAUUUGUGGUCUAUAAUAUGAUUGCUGUAGCGAUUGAAACUUUCUGCACCAUCAUUAGUAUUAGCCGGAGCAUUAAAAACACUCACUUUAUCAGCAUUAGACAGCCAAGAAACAAUGAAGGAGGCAACAGAGGCACAUUCAUCAUUAAAGAUAAAAUGUACUGGGGAGUUUUUAAUUUAUGAAGUUGCCAAUUCCUAAUUAGAGCCUACAAUUAAAAUUACAUAAAAA
RNAcentral lists this long non-coding RNA (329 nucleotides) under Cotesia glomerata. RNAcentral's name for it is "uncharacterized LOC123272420, transcript variant X2". The record is from RNAcentral. Lineage: Eukaryota; Metazoa; Arthropoda; Insecta; Hymenoptera; Braconidae.